Molecule: ribosomal RNA, 466 nt
Filed under: uncultured bacterium
Lineage: Bacteria
Description: bacterial SSU rRNA
Rfam family: Bacterial small subunit ribosomal RNA
Source: RNAcentral
GGACCCGCACAAGCGGUGGAUGAUGUGGAUUAAUUCGAUGCAACGCGAAAAACCUUACCUACCCUUGACAUGUCAGGAAUCCUUGAGAGAUCAGGGAGUGCUUGAAAGAGAACCUGAACACAGGUGCUGCAUGGCUGUCGUCAGCUCGUGUCGUGAGAUGUUGGGUUAAGUCCCGCAACGAGCGCAACCCUUGUCAUUAAUUGCCAGCAUUUAGUUGGGCACUUUAAUGAGACUGCCGGUGACAAACCGGAGGAAGGUGGGGAUGACGUCAAGUCCUCAUGGCCCUUAUGGGUAGGGCUUCACACGUCAUACAAUGGUACAUACAGAGGGCUGCUAAGUCGUGAGACGGAGCCAAUCCCAGAAAGUGUAUCGUAGUCCGGAUUGAAGUCUGCAACUCGACUUCAUGAAGUUGGAAUCGCUAGUAAUCGCGGAUCAGCAUGUCGCGGUGAAUACGUUCCCGGGUCUU